GACGAACGCUGGCGGCGUGCUUAACACAUGCAAGUCGAACGGAAAGGCCCUGAUUUUGUGGGGUGCUCGAGUGGCGAACGGGUGAGUAACACGUGAGUAAACUGCACUUGACUUUGGGAUAACUUCAGGAAACAGGGGAUAAUACCGGAUAGGAGCUCCUGCAGCAUGGGGGGGGUUGGAAAGUUUCGGCGGUUGGGGCUGGACUCGCGGGUUAUCAGCUUGUUGGUGGGGUAGUGGAUUACAAAGGCUUUGACGGGUAGCCGGCAUUGGAGGGUGACCGGCCACAUGGGUACUGCGAGACGGCCCAGAAUCCUACGUGCCGCAGCAGUGGGGAAUAUUGCGCAAUGGGCGGAAGCCUGAUGCAGCAACGCCGCGUUCGGGAUGACGUCUUUCGGGUUGUAAACCGCUUUCUCCGGUGCCGAAGCCGGAGUGACGGUAAUGGGUAAAGAAGCACCGGCUAACUACGUG
Molecule: ribosomal RNA, 468 nt
Filed under: uncultured bacterium
Lineage: Bacteria
Description: partial 16S ribosomal RNA
Rfam family: Bacterial small subunit ribosomal RNA
Source: RNAcentral